ACAUAUUCUUUCGGUAACAACCUGUGGAGCUCCAUGGUCUCUUUUCUGCAGGGAUUUAUACAUUGCUUUCAACCUCCUGACACGAAUGCUUAUUUGCCAGUUGGGGAAAACAUGGCAUAUUUUUAAGGGUUUGCUAUAGAUCAAUUAAAAGACAAAAGCCUUGGCAUUUAAGUAGGUACUUUUUUUUCUCAGGGUGGUGCUGCUGAUACUGGUUCCUACCAUCUGUUUUCUUUUUGCAUCCUGCUCCUUCAGUUUAGAGACAGCUCCAGCUUUUCAGAGUACUGAGCCAUUCACAUUUUCUCUGCAUGAUCAUAAAUUUGAGUAAACUGUAGGAAUGCUUCUGUGCUUCCAUGCAUGUCCUAAUAACAAGUAAAAUGCAUUUGGGAAAAUCCUGGGCAUCCAGGCAGUCAGUAGAACAGUAGCUGGAUGUAUGCAUUUUACUUGUGAAGUCAGAGGAGCUGUUUAUACUGCUGUCUGCUUGUGAGGGGACAAAAGCAGAGGAUCUGUCCCUUAAAGUGAAUGGCAAUUCUAACAGAAGCUUUUCUCAGCUUUGUAAAUCUGAUAGGCUUGGAUAGAUGAGCAAUGCUAACAUAUAAUUUAUCAUGGGGUCUACUGCUACGGAAAUCGAGGAGCUGGAAAACACUUCUUUUAAAUACCUUAUAGGAGAACAGACUGAAAAAAUGUGGCAACAGCUGAAAGGAAUGAAGUAUGCACAAUGAUUUUCCAUUUGGAAUAUGGCCAAUAGCAAGAAUAAGGUGCUUUCAUCUGUGGAGUUCAGAAGAAAACUAUUUUUCCUUGUUCUCUCUGCCAAUUAAAUGAGUAUUUCAAGUUUUUAAACUGUUUUAACAAUCCUUGGAAAUAAAACUUUACAUUUGGAAAUAUUGU
Molecule: long non-coding RNA, 885 nt
Filed under: Sarcophilus harrisii (Tasmanian devil)
Lineage: Eukaryota; Metazoa; Chordata; Mammalia; Dasyuromorphia; Dasyuridae
Description: lncRNA (ENSSHAG00000021659.1)
Source: RNAcentral